UGGCGGACGGGUGAGUAACGCGUAGGAACCUGUCGAACAGUGGGGGAUAACGCUGGGAAACCGGCGCUAAUACCGCAUGUGGUCGGGCAACCGAAGAAAGCAUUUAUGCGCUGUUUGAGGGGCCUGCGUCCGAUUAGCUUGUUGGUGGGGUAAGGGCCUACCAAGGCAUCGAUCGGUAGCUGGUCUGAGAGGAUGGUCAGCCACACUGGGACUGAGACACGGCCCAG
This 227-nucleotide ribosomal RNA is filed under the name uncultured bacterium. RNAcentral's name for it is "partial 16S ribosomal RNA". It matches the Rfam family "Bacterial small subunit ribosomal RNA", at positions 96 to 334 of the family's 1533-position model. The record is from RNAcentral.